Molecule: small RNA, 28 nt
Filed under: Bombyx mori (domestic silkworm)
Lineage: Eukaryota; Metazoa; Arthropoda; Insecta; Lepidoptera; Bombycidae
Description: ovarian small RNA-1765
Source: RNAcentral
GAGGUGAUACCAGGCCUCAGCUGCGUAC